UAUCUAGUGCCCUUUUGUAAUACAGUAA
RNAcentral lists this non-coding RNA (28 nucleotides) under Homo sapiens (human). The record is from RNAcentral. Lineage: Eukaryota; Metazoa; Chordata; Mammalia; Primates; Hominidae.